GAUGUGACCAGCUGGGCAGAUGGAGCUGCCAUCUGGAGGGAGAAUCCCAGCUUCGACAUUGAGAUCUUCCGCAGAGGGAAGCGAGGCUGUCAAGGACAGGUGCCUGUGUACCCGUGCCUCCUGCUCUUCUCUUCCUCCUCAUUCCUUUAUUCUUCCUUCUACCCCUUCCCUACAGUGACCUCUGUCACCACAAGAUCAAGAGGCCAGAGAACCUACUUCCAAUUCAGAGUGUGAAUUCCCAUGAAAAUCCAAUCAUCAAAUUCUAUGGAAAGUAAGGCGUCCUGAGUUCCUCACCUCAUCUUUCACUCCUUGGCAUGGUGCCUCCUCAAGGUUACAGGUGAUCUUGGACUUAGGAGAAGAGAGAAGACGCUGAAGGAGGUGUGGAAAGCUCAGGGAGUGGGAAUGGCUUUCCUUAUCUGCCCAUCGAUCAUGUCCGUGCUUCAGUUGAGACUGAAGUCACUUGGCAGCCACACGUUUUAGACUGAGGUAACUCCCCACUGCCAUAAAGGUCAAGAAAGCCACUGUGCUGACACAGGUCCUCCCCUGACAGCCUGUUCCACAGCGACCCUUGAGUCAUCAUGU
This 582-nucleotide long non-coding RNA is filed under the name Homo sapiens (human). RNAcentral describes it as "HSALNT0213300". The record is from RNAcentral. Lineage: Eukaryota; Metazoa; Chordata; Mammalia; Primates; Hominidae.